Molecule: ribosomal RNA, 450 nt
Filed under: uncultured bacterium
Lineage: Bacteria
Description: partial 16S ribosomal RNA
Rfam family: Bacterial small subunit ribosomal RNA
Source: RNAcentral
GUGGGGAAUUUUGGACAAUGGGGGCAACCCUGAUCCAGCAAUGCCGCGUGCAGGAAGAAGGCCUUCGGGUUGUAAACUGCUUUUGUACGGAACGAAACGGUCUGGGUUAAUACCCUGGGCUAAUGACGGUACCGUAAGAAUAAGCACCGGCUAACUACGUUCCAGCAGCCGCGGUAAUACGUAGGGUGCGAGCGUUAAUCGGAAUUACUGGGCGUAAAGCGUGCGCAGGCGGUUUUGUAAGACAGGCGUGAAAUCCCCGGGCUCAACCUGGGAAUGGAGCUUGUGACUGAAAAGCUGGAGUGCGGCAGAGGGGGAUGGAAUUCCGCGUGUAGCAGUGAAAUGCGUAGAUAUGCGGAGGAACACCGAUGGCGAAGGCAAUCCCCUGGGCCUGCACUGACGCUCAUGCACGAAAGCGUGGGGAGCAAACAGGAUUAGAUACCCCGGUAGUCC